CAGCCGCCGCGGUAAUACGUAGGUGGCGAGCGUUGUCCGGAAUUAUUGGGCGUAAAGGGAGCGCAGGCGGACAUAUAAGUCCAUCUUAAAAGUGUGGGGCUCAACCCCGUGAGGGGAUGGAAACUGUAUGCCUUGAGUGCAGGAGAGGAAAGCGGAAUUCCCAGUGUAGCGGUGAAAUGCGUAGAUAUUGGGAGGAACACCAGUGGCGAAGGCGGCUUUCUGGACUGUAACUGACGCUGAGACUCGAAAGCCAGGGGAGCGAACGGGAUUAGAUACCCCAGUAGUCCCUGUCUCUUAUACA
RNAcentral lists this ribosomal RNA (301 nucleotides) under uncultured bacterium. RNAcentral describes it as "partial 16S ribosomal RNA". It matches the Rfam family "Bacterial small subunit ribosomal RNA", at positions 509 to 809 of the family's 1533-position model. The record is from RNAcentral.